GAAAAAAAUUAUGGAAAUUUCAAGGAAUCAAGCAAGAUAAGGUGGUGAGUCCUCCGAUAAAGGCAAGGGAAUUGCACCCGAAGACCAGUAAUCUGAGUAUUUCAAAAAUCCCCACUUUAGACAUUCUUGCUGCAGUGGGCGGAUUCUGUGGACCAGCC
Non-coding RNA from Theobroma cacao (cacao), 158 nucleotides. NCBI's taxonomy places the organism in Eukaryota, Viridiplantae, Streptophyta, Magnoliopsida, Malvales, Malvaceae. The record is from RefSeq and is a predicted model, not a curated record.